UACGUAGGCGGAAAAUUAAGUCAGUGGUGAAAUCCUGCAGCUUAACUGUAGAACUGUCAUUGAUACUGGUUUUCUUGAAUACAGUUGGGGUAGGCGGAAUGUGUAAUGUAGCGGUGAAAUGCUUAGAUAUUACACAGAACACCGAUUGCGAAGGCAGCUUACUAAACUGUUAUUGACGCUGAGGUACGAAAGCGUGGGGAGCGAACAGGAUUAGAUACCCUGGUAGUCC
This 229-nucleotide ribosomal RNA is filed under the name uncultured bacterium. RNAcentral describes it as "partial 16S ribosomal RNA". It matches the Rfam family "Bacterial small subunit ribosomal RNA", at positions 568 to 796 of the family's 1533-position model. The record is from RNAcentral.